Molecule: non-coding RNA, 5338 nt
Organism: Xyrichtys novacula (pearly razorfish)
Lineage: Eukaryota; Metazoa; Chordata; Actinopteri; Labriformes; Labridae
Source: the annotation of a GenBank genome assembly
GGUUAGGUUUGGAGUCUCUGGAAAUAAAGAUCCUAACACCUUUUAAAUAAUAAUCAGCCUUAUAUGAACAUCAGCAGGCAUGUAAUGAGUGUUUUUUUUUGUUUAAAGAUAGAUACAAAUCUCUUACUUUAGUUCUCAUGAUUCAUGUUAAAUGUGAGAAAUAAUCUGAUCACGGAGAGGAAACAUUUUUCAUCAUCCUAUGUCAGAUCACGUAACCUUUUUUUUUUUUUUUAAUUAAUUAAUUUAUUUUUGUUCGAUAGUGAAUCGGAAAAAAUAUCUAAACCUUCGUCAAACUUAUCUCACCAUGAUUAGUCAUAACAAACUGUUGUUUAACACGUCUUAUGUAUCAUUUUGCAGCAGAUAUAUGUUUGUUUGUAAUAUUUUUCAAAGCACCUCUUGGUGGCUUUUUAACCCUGAGUACAUCCUGUAUUAAACUGUUCUUGUUGGCCCAAUUCACUAAGGGAUUACAUGGCUUAUACACUUAUCAAUCUUGUGCAAAUAAGUUAAAACAACAUGGUCCAAGUCACAAAGCACAGGCAAAGAACUGAAUGCUCCACAAGCUGUGCUGCAAACAGCGUCUCUGUGCAUUGGUGCAGUUUGCUUACAUUUAAAUGAGCCAUCUCAUCCACCAGAUCAGAUCAACAGGUGAGACGUGUCCUUCUACAUACAACCCAGAUAUGGAGCAGAGAUGUGCAAAUGAUGCAUAACUUUUGGUGCUAUUGGUGAAUCAGGCCCUGUGUGUUUAAGUCAAUAAGUCAGACUUAAUAUGACUGGAAAACGCUACUUAAGAGCAUCAUCAUAUUGACAGGUAUCAGGUAUAGAUCCACUGCCCACAACCAAUUUACUGGACUUUCCACUCUCCCCUAAUGUAUUUCACUGCAUUUUUAAUAUAUUCUCUAUAUCUUUGCAUGGUGGGCUGCAGAGAAAUGUCUUAUUCAAUUCCAGUGUAUGUACUCACAUAUGACAGAAAUGGACAAUAAAAAAACUGAAUCUUGAGUAUACUGUGUCUGUGUGUAUCCUUCCUUUUUUUUUUUUUGCACAAAGUUUCAUCUGUGAAUAAACGUUUUAUGAACAAGUACUGGUGUAAUGUCUUGCUCCCACAAACUCCUUUACUGCAUGUCAAAUCCAUCUAUCCACAUACUCUCCUCCCAACAUUUUUCACAUUCAGUUAGAAAAAUCUGAUACAGCAUAUUCAAUUAUAUUGACCUGCAGGGAGAUGAAGAAAUAAUUAGAUGGACACGAUCCUCAAGAAACCACUGCUCCGCCUUACUGCUGCACCUACUUGAUAGUUGUAACUCUGUUGCAUGUGAUUCAUACACACCCAAAACUCUGGGAGAGGCUUUGUGUGUUAGUAUAACACCAUCAUGCGCAACAGACUGGAGCUUUAAGUCCCACAUCUAAAGCCUUUCAGUGAGCGCUCACACACUCUUCCAAUGUGAUCAAUAAUCGCUCUAUACUCACAGCACAAAACAUACUGACUCUUCUACACACGCAGCACAGAGAGCCAAAUCCACUAAGGAAAUGUGAGACUUGAAAAAACAGAAAUUAUAUACUCUGAGGCAGGCAUCAAACCACAGUGGGCCCAUGUAGCCAAGAUAACAACAGCAAAGCACUUUCUAAAUGACAAAAUGAUACUGGCUGCAGUCCACAGCACUCUCCCUCUCUUCCUCUGUUAGUCCUCUUCUCAAACACAGACAGCCUCUCAAACAGUCCGUCGUACCAUCAAAACAGAAAUCUUCUUUGACAAUAUGGUCUUCCUUCCUCUGAACUAAGCUGAUGGAGAACAAUAUUUGUGCAGUGACUGAGGUUAAACGUAUUUCACCUUCAUCCAUGCUGCUGGCGACUGGCUGCCGGCUGUGCUCUUACGUAUAAGCCUGCCCGUUUAUUUUCCCGCCCUGCAGAGGGGCUCCGCAUGAAGUUUCAUUCGCAUGAAGCCAGUCGAGCUGGAAGCAAAAGGGAGGAGUGAAAAGAGGGCAGGGGAGUUGUUUUUGUUACCACACUCAGUGCAAUGAUGCAAUUCAUAAUUAAAAUGCUAAUUUUAACAACAGGGAGUCUCUCUUUACCUUGUUUUCAUUUUACUCCAACAGUCACUCCAACAGUCUCGGGGGAGGCGGGUCUCUGCCUGGGAUCAAUGUAUCCCAGUCAGUAAAUCAAUUUUUAUACCAAGCACUGAAAUCAAUUUGAGAUUAAGGCUUUAACAGAAUCUGUACAAAGUGAGCUGCAUGGACACACGUGCCUGCCUGUGGCCAAGAAACAUUUUUUCCACUUUGCUAUGAUUAUGUGUGUGGGAGCUUUAAAGGCUCACAUCCCUAAACUGAGGGCUAAAAGCAAUUAUUUGGGCAACAAGAAAACUCAAGGCCUGUCUGACACAUUCGCCAUCAGCCUGUCUCUGUUUUGACUCUAGCUUAUCACAAUAGGUGCCUCAAACAUCCCCUAAGCUUCAAUCUCGACAAACAACAAAGACAAACGCCGUGGAAUGAAUCAUUUGAUGGGAGUUUCAUUUCAGAAGUGAGCCUGACAGACAAAACAGAGGGGGAAUCAGAGGAGAGGAGGCCUUUUUUAGUGGUUGUCCUUCAGCGUGACUUUGUCAUGUAACACAUUUCCAGCUCAAUUAUCUGCAUCCAGUGGAUUUCAAACACAUUUAGCAAGGACCAGAGAGCUUGGUAAUUAGCAGGAGCCCUGGCUCAUAAGGGGGCCAAAAACAAAGCCUGUCUUUAGCGCUAUCUUUAUCCCCUCCGCUUGUCUAAUCUCUUCUGAUCCUUUUGCUUUUCACAGAGGGUGCUGUACGUCAUGUGUGCACUCAGUCAAUACCUUUACACACCAACAGGUUUCAGCUUUCGGAUACGGAGGCAUGACACAAGACAAGAUACUCCAUCUGUAUGAACAGGCUUAGAAAAUAAGAAAACCUGUCUGAUGGCUAUCAGCAAGGACGCUGUAUGUAACAUGCAGCAAAAUAUAUUUAUAAGAUGGCAGUUUUUUCUUUAAAAUAUGGAGACAUAAAGUGUCUAGAAAAUUUUGCAAAAGCAAAUUGCUGAAACCUACCCUUACCAAAAAGAAGUAUGUUGAAGUGUACUUCAAGUAUACUGUGUUUAAACUAAGUAUGCUUUCAGUUGACUUUUUAUGCACUUUUCAGAGAUAUACUUCACAGUUAUUAUUAAGUUUACUUGGCUUGUACUAAGAAUUAUAUUAAAACUCUAAAUAUAUUUAACCUUUACUUAGACAUAAACUUCUGUUCCAGAUAUACUUAAGUAUGUAUUUGUGCCUUAGGUUUAAGUAUACUUGGUCAGUGAAUAUUUCAUUUAUCUUUUUAAGAGUAUACUCUCUGAGUGUACUCUUAAAAAGAUAAGCAGUAAAAGCCAAGUAUACAAAUAUGUACUACUAUUGAAAUAAUAGUAUACCAAUGCUUCAGAGUCAGAGUGCAGAUAGCCGAGUAGAUUAACUGUGGUCCUCACUGUGAUCACGAGUUUGAUUCCUGUUCUGACCAUGUGCCGCAUGUCCGUCUGCCCCCCCCCCCCCCCCCCCUACCCCACACACACACACACACACACACACACACACACACACAAACAAAGAAUAUUAAUAAAGGUAUGCUUCAGAGUGAACUUUUAUAAACUAAAAGAGACUGGAAGUUUAUUACUAGUAAGUAUACCUAUAAGUUUACUUUCAAGUAUGCUUCAAGCGUACUUUAAUAAACUAAAUUGAGCCAAUUUGGUCCCAAGAAGUUUACUUUUAAGUACACUGGUGGUAUAUUUGUAUCAGUGUACAAAGCAUACUUUGAGAAGUAUACUAAAAUGAACUUAAGUAUACUUUAUAAAAUGUACUUUAGGUAUACUUUUUUCUUGUAAGAGUAGUGAUAUCACAUGUACACUUGCGGCAGUAGUAGAUCCAGAGGUUCCCACUGCUGGAAUUUGGAAAUACUAAGAUUGAAAAAGAAAGAAAACUUCCUCAACUUUCAUCUGUAGUGUUUCAUGACAGUUUUCAGAUUUUGUCAACUCCUUCUCCUGUACUAGUUUUCCAUUUUAAUAGCAAACUGAAAUCAAAUCAGGUUACUUUGGCACAGUGAUGUUGCCUCAAAUAUAAUAGCUUACAGUUUUCCCCCUAACACUAAGAAUGACUGAUUUCAUUCAGGCAUUGACCUGGAAAGUUGACAUUUGCAACUUAAUUUCAAUAAAAUAAGUCAUGUACAAAGAGCUGACCCUCUAGAGGGUUUUCUUACCAAUGCCUGAAAGAAAGAUGAUCCCACUGUUUUAGGUGUAUUCAAAGAAAGAAAAAAAAGGUGUCUCUAUGGGUCAAAAUUUGGAGCAUGUAACACACUUAUUUAUUUAUUUUUUUGGUCGGUUUGGCUGCAUCCUGUACGCCACUGUGGCCAAGUGACACUAACAUUUCAGUAAGUAAACCUGGUCUGACUGAAAGGACUUUGCAAUGGAAGACAUACAGUGAAGAGUCCAGGCGAGUGGUCUAACUCUUGACAAAAUUCUUCAUGGAUCUGUAUCUCAAAACAAUCAAAGCUUCCAAAGGCUGAGCUCAAUGACUGUACCAGCAAGACAGCAAACUCCUAAUGGUGAGGAUUCUGCAUAUAGGAGUUAUAUAGGAGUUUCUGUACAAAUAAUAAACUGGAUUUAACACUGAAUGUAAAGUGUGAAUUAAAAUCAAAAUGUUAAAUACCAAAAAAGUGGAUAAGCAGAUGAAAGAGUAAUUUAGAUAUGAGACCUUCCAACCUUUUUUCUUUCCAACUGCUAUAAUGAUGAAUUAGCCUGCAGCUGCACAAGUCAUUGGUUUUUUGAGAUGUCAUUUUACAAAGUUAGUCACAUGUGCAAAAGAAAAUGGAUAAGUAGAGUGGGUGCGACAUAAAAGACCUGUUUUCAGAGGGAAAAUGAAUCAAAGUACAAAUCACUGCCAAAUAUGGAAGAAAGGAUAGACAGCAAAGACAGGUAUAAGAGACACACCUGUUUUGCCUUUUAUCGUCCUGUUUCAAGAAACGAUCAAUGCACAGGAUAUCAAGAAAAAGCUAAUACACUUUUACUGAGUAGUUGUGCUCCCACUGUUGGUCCUCUGUUGGCACCAGCUACUUCAAACUGAAGUGGAUCCACAAGCGCACACACUCACACAAACCAACACAGCCAACUAAGAUUAGCUGAUCACUUGACUUGUUAAACGGUCAUACCAGCGUGCUGAAGUAUCAGGAUUAAGACCAAUCUUGGUGCCAUCAUGAGAAGAAGUGGGGUCAGAACUGGCACAUUUCCACACAACAGCAGAGAUGGACUAUGGGAGAAUAUAUAUCCCUGCUUUUUUGCAGUUGUCCCACCUGAUUUCUCUCAUGCUGGAGGAGCCCAGACCA